This 1623-nucleotide unclassified non-coding RNA is filed under the name Leishmania donovani. Its description in RNAcentral is "gene:LdHU3.30.4260(CDS-product:Translocon-associa ted_protein_beta_(TRAPB)/Domain_of_unknown_function_DUF11/C ARDB_putative)". The record is from RNAcentral. Lineage: Eukaryota; Euglenozoa; Kinetoplastea; Trypanosomatida; Trypanosomatidae.
UGUAUCUCCUUUCGACUUGGCGUUCUCUCCCCCCUGUGUUGAGUCUCUGAUUGGCUAUCGCACACGGUAGUCGGCGGCUGCACAGCGCAUCUUUACUUCCCUGUUACGUCUUCUGUAGGCGAGAAGGAUCUUUGCUCAGUUAUUUGUUUACGCUGCCGACAAUGGCCACUCUCAAGGUGCUGCUCUUACUGUGCUUGGCCACCUUGGUGGCAACGACGUGUUUCGCGCAGGUGGCGCAGGAGGCAGAGAUAAAUCCGCAUCCGCUGCUGUUUGUGUCCAAGACGACAUCGAGCGACGACAUCGUUCUCGGAUCCUCCGUGGAGGUGGUGGUCACGGUAACGAACUACGGCCAGAGUCCCGCCUUUGACGUGCAGAUAUCUGACCUGCUGGAGGACGGCUCGCUGCAGAGCAAGUCUAUCGCCUACCUCCCCUACGGCGCUUCGGAGACGCUGCGCUACACGGUGACCCCUACCGCACUGGGCAACUACGCCGUCUCCGUUGCUGAGGUGACGUACAAUGUUGAGCAGGGCAAUACUGCGACGGCCCGCAAGGCUCUCAGCAACCUGAUCCGCGAGGGCGAGGCGUACUACUACGGCGAGGGUGUCGAUGACGAGAGCUUUCGCGGCGUCAUCUCCGUCCUCACCCGCGACCGUUACGACCGCCUGCACGCGCGCUACAUCAAGGAGUCGACGGCGUACAUCUUCCUAGGCGCCAUCCCGGCGCUGUUUCCCUACGUACUGUACCGAGUGAAGCAGAGCGAGGUGGACGCGCUGCUCCGCCAGCGCAAGGCCAGCAAGUAGGUGGCUGAGCGUUGGCGUAUGGCGAGGGUGAUUCGCCCACCCGACCCACACUCACAUGCACUACCACCAGCGACUAGUGGCCAUCUCCCAGUCUGCCUCGUGAGUGCCCAUGAUAGUGGAAAGAAGAGAGGAAGAGGGACUAACUCGGAAGGGACGAAGGGGGCAGGUUUGAGGAGAUCGCUAGCCGCCACUCCCGGGGCUCACCUCGAUGCUCGUGUGUGUCUCUCUCAUCGUUGCCCCCGUAAAGUGGCUGCUUCAAUCAACGCAACGACGGAGAAAGGGAGGGAAAGGAUGCGAUUUGGGCUUCUGAUGACGACCUUUUUUUUGCUUCUUCCUCGUCCGCUUCGUUGUUGUGACUUAAAUGUCAAGUAGGCAUUCGACAUGCGUGCGAACGUUGGGUGGUUCGGUAAAUAUAACUCUUCUUCCGCCGUCGCCGCCUCACUCUUUUUUUUCUCCAAAUGGAUGCAUCGUGCACGCAAAGGUCGUGCCUCCUUACCUUGGCCCGUUUUGGGACGCCUCUUGAUCUCUUCUUGAGCCUCCCCCUUCCCUUCGGACCACUGACACGCUGACGAGCUACGAAGAAUGGUGUGCGCCUUUAUCUCACUUCCCACUUGUCGUGCACACACUAUACUGUGCGUGUGUGUGUGGCUGCGAUCUUUGGUUGUGGCCUUCAUCCAUCCCUCUCCUUGACUCAAGCGCCUGCGCGUGCGUACCUCUGUGCGCCGAAGUGAUCGUCAUUGGGCUUCUUUGUUCUUGUGUUGUGAAGUCGUCUUUUGUAUUUGUUUUGGUUGGUGAAAAAAGUACUUCUAAGCACACACGUGAG